This 407-nucleotide ribosomal RNA is filed under the name uncultured bacterium. RNAcentral describes it as "partial 16S ribosomal RNA". It matches the Rfam family "Bacterial small subunit ribosomal RNA", at positions 28 to 526 of the family's 1533-position model. The record is from RNAcentral.
GACGAACGAUGGCGGCGUGCCUAAUACAUGCAAGUAGAACGCAGUUGCGAACGGGUGAGUAACGCGUAUGUAACUGCCUGGUAGCGGGGGAUAACUAUUUGAAACGAUAGCUAAUACCGCCUCCUACAAGAUGGACCUGCGUUGUAUUAGCUGGUUGGUGGGGUAACGGCUCACCAAGGCAACGAUACAUAGCCGACCUGUGAGGGUGAGCGGCCACAAUGGGAACUGGACACGGCCCAAAGUUCUACGGGAGGGAGCAGUAGGGGAUUGUCGGCAAUGGACGGAAGUCUGACCGAGCAACGCCGCGUGAGUGAAGAAGGUUUUCGGAUCGUAAAGCUCUGUUGUAAGAGAAGCGGUAUCUUACCAGAAAGGGACGGCUAACUACGUGCCAGCAGCCGCGGUAAUAC